Long non-coding RNA from Bactrocera neohumeralis, 408 nucleotides. RefSeq lists it as uncharacterized. Lineage: Eukaryota; Metazoa; Arthropoda; Insecta; Diptera; Tephritidae. The transcript is spliced from 2 exons. The record is from RefSeq and is a predicted model, not a curated record.
UCGUAUAAGCGCAUGUUAGAAAAAUAUAUAUUUUUUAAAAGAGGAGCUGCAGCGUAAAUUUUUUUUUUGCUUUUCAUUAGACGGUAGAUAAUAAAUAAAAGAUCAUGCCUAAAGGAUCUUAUUUGACGCAAGAAGAACGGGUGUCAGUUAAAUUGUUAAAGGAAGAGAAGUACUCAAAUCGUGCGAUUGCAAGGAGAAUAGAGAGGUCUGAGAACGUAAUCCGUAAUUUUUUAAAAAAAGGCAGUAAGUAUGGAAUAAAACCGUCAACAAAGGGUAACCAAAAACUGACACUCCGUCAAAAAGGGCAAAUACUCCUUGAAGCAACAAAAAAUAAACUAAAUUGCAGCCAAAUUAAAGCAAAAUUAGAGAUCGACGUAACACCUCGUCAAAUCGCCAGGGUGCUCAACA